CCUACGGGUGGCAGCAGUAGGGAAUAUUGCUCAAUGGGGGAAACCCUGAAGCAGCAACGCCGCGUGGAGGAUGAAGGUUUUCGGAUUGUAAACUCCUUUUGUUAGAGAAGAUAAUGACGGUAUCCAACGAAUAAGCACCGGCGAACUCCGUGCCAGCAGCGGCGGUAAUACGGAGGGUGCAAGCGUUACUCGGAAUCACUGGGCGUAAAGAGCGCGUAGGCGGGUAAGCAAGUCAGAUGUGAAAUUCUAUGGCUUAACCAUAGAAUUGCAUUUGAAACUGUUAUUCUAGAGUAUGGGAGAGGUAGGGGGAAUGCGUGGUGUAGGGGUAAAAUGCAUAGAGAUCAAGAGGAAUACUCAUUGCGAAGGCGGCCUGCUAGAACAUAACUGACGCUGAUGCGCGAAAGCGUGGGGAGCAAACAGGAUUAGAUACCCUGGUAGUC
This 440-nucleotide ribosomal RNA is filed under the name uncultured bacterium. RNAcentral describes it as "partial 16S ribosomal RNA". It matches the Rfam family "Bacterial small subunit ribosomal RNA", at positions 338 to 795 of the family's 1533-position model. The record is from RNAcentral.